This 174-nucleotide ribosomal RNA is filed under the name uncultured bacterium. RNAcentral's name for it is "partial 16S ribosomal RNA". It matches the Rfam family "Bacterial small subunit ribosomal RNA", at positions 335 to 526 of the family's 1533-position model. The record is from RNAcentral.
ACUCCUACGGGAGGCAGCAGUGGGGAAUAUUGGGCAAUGGGCGCAAGCCUGACCCAGCAAUUCCGCGUGGGUGAAGAAGGUCUUCGGAUCGUAAAGCCCUUUCGGCGGGGACGAUGGUGACGGUACCCGCAGAAGAAGCCCCGGCUAACUUCGUGCCAGCAGCCGCGGUAAUAC